CACAGCACUGCCUGGUCAGAA
This 21-nucleotide microRNA is filed under the name Anolis carolinensis (green anole). Its description in RNAcentral is "aca-miR-383-3p". Its record names the gene aca-miR-383-3p. RNAcentral also lists the same sequence under 1 other name. The record is from miRBase by way of RNAcentral. Lineage: Eukaryota; Metazoa; Chordata; Lepidosauria; Squamata; Anolidae.